RNAcentral lists this long non-coding RNA (530 nucleotides) under Carica papaya (papaya). RNAcentral describes it as "long non-coding RNA (CPAP_LNC006030)". Lineage: Eukaryota; Viridiplantae; Streptophyta; Magnoliopsida; Brassicales; Caricaceae. The record is from RNAcentral.
CGGUGCCCUCUGGGUCGCGACAUUUACGAAAAUGCUAUCCUCUUUCAUGGCAGAAACUAGCAGUCUAUCCUCCUUUUCGUCGUCUUCGGUGAAGCAUAGGCAGCACCAAAUCUUCAUGCAAGAGCGGGCAACGGGCUGGACUUUUACAAGAACCCUAGGUUCGUGAUCUUGUACAUUACCACGGAAGAAACCCUAACUGGGAGAGAAUUGUAGAAGAUGAUCUCGAAUCUAAGAAAACCGAGUGUUGAAAACCUGAAUUAGGGGUAAGAAUUACAAACCAUUUCUGGAAAAUCAAGGAAUCAGUACGAUCGACACAGACAUCUGGCUGUAGAGAGGAAAGAGGGGUUGAUUGUAUAGAGGGAAAAGUUGGAGGUGUGAUUUGAGAUGGAUCUGAUCGAAUCUUGUAAACUGGUAGUGAGGAUAUGUUGUUUUUGUUAUUGGGCUUCAAGAAAAAAGAGAUCGGCGCUAAUGGUGAUGCUAUAAAUCACUAUAUUCGUACCUUGUGUACAAUUAGUUUUUUUCUCUCUUUU